GGGCCUGUAGUCUACCGGUAUGACGCAGCCUUCGCAAGGCUGAAGUCCGGGUUCAAUUCCCGGCAGGUCCA
This 71-nucleotide transfer RNA is filed under the name Nanobdellota archaeon. Its description in RNAcentral is "tRNA-Ala". It matches the Rfam family "tRNA". From Rfam's summary of the family: Transfer RNA (tRNA) molecules are approximately 80 nucleotides in length. Their secondary structure includes four short double-helical elements and three loops (D, anti-codon, and T loops). Further hydrogen bonds mediate the characteristic L-shaped molecular structure. tRNAs have two regions of fundamental functional importance: the anti-codon, which is responsible for specific mRNA codon recognition, and the 3' end, to which the tRNAs corresponding amino acid is attached (by aminoacyl-tRNA synthetases). tRNAs cope with the degeneracy of the genetic code in two manners: having more than one tRNA (with a specific anti-codon) for a particular amino acid; and 'wobble' base-pairing, i.e. permitting non-standard base-pairing at the 3rd anti-codon position. Lineage: Archaea; Nanobdellati; Nanobdellota. The record is from RNAcentral.